UUGUUGCAGUUAAAAAGCUCGUAGUUGGACCUUGGGCAGGAGGCACGGGUUGGCCGAAUGGCUCGACUCGGGUCUCCGGCCUCUAUGGGUGGUCGUGCCUUUGGUACGGUUCGCCCGGGUUACUGUGAAGAAAUUAGAGUGUUUAAAGCAGGCGAUUGCUUGGAUACAUCAGCAUGGAAUAACAAGAUAGGACCUGGUUCCACUUGUUGGUUUGGGGGCUUUGGUAAUGAUUAAUAGGGCCAGUUGGGGGCAUUAGUAUUCAGUAGUCAGAGGUGAAAUUCUUGGAUUUACUGAAGACUAACUAGUGCGAAAGCAUUUGCCAAGGAUGUUUUCAUUAAUCAAGAACGAAAGUUAGGGGAUCGAAGACGAUCAGAUACCGUCGUAGUCUUAACUAUAAACGAUGCCGACUCGGGAUCGGCAGACGUCGUUAGCGACACUGUCGGCACCGUGUGAGAAAUCAAAGUUUUUGGGUUCUGGGGGGAGUAUGGUCGCAAGGCUGAAACUUAAAGGAAUUGACGGAAGGGCACCACCAGGAGUGGAGCCUGCGGCUUAAUUUGACUCAACACGGGAAAACUCACCAGGUCCGGACAUAGUAAGGAUUGACAGAUUGAGAGCUCUUUCUUGA
This 625-nucleotide ribosomal RNA is filed under the name uncultured eukaryote. RNAcentral's name for it is "SSU rRNA". It matches the Rfam family "Eukaryotic small subunit ribosomal RNA", at positions 610 to 1265 of the family's 1831-position model. The record is from RNAcentral.